GACGUAGGGCGCGAGCGUUGUCCGGAUUUAUUGGCGUAAAGAGCUCGUAGGCGGUCUGUCGCGUCUGCUGUGAAACUCAGGCUUAACCCUGAGCUUGCAGUGGUACGGGCAGACUAGAGUGCGGUAGGGAGACUGGAAUUCCUGGUGUAGCGGUGAAAUGCGCAGAUAUCAGGAGGAACACCAAUAGCGAAGGCAGCUCGCUGGGACGUUACUGACACUGAGGCGCGAAAGCGUGGGGAGCGAACAGG
This 248-nucleotide ribosomal RNA is filed under the name uncultured bacterium. Its description in RNAcentral is "partial 16S ribosomal RNA". It matches the Rfam family "Bacterial small subunit ribosomal RNA", at positions 524 to 776 of the family's 1533-position model. The record is from RNAcentral.